AGGAAUCUGCCUGGUAGUGGGGGACAACGUUUCGAAAGGAACGCUAAUACCGCAUACGUCCUACGGGAGAAAGCAGGGGACCUUCGGGCCUUGCGCUAUCAGAUGAGCCUAGGUCGGAUUAGCUAGUUGGUGGGGUAACGGCUCACCAAGGCGACGAUCCGUAACUGGUCUGAGAGGAUGAUCAGUCACACUGGAACUGAGACACGGUCCAGACUCCUACGGGAGGCAGCAGUGGGGAAUAUUGGACAAUGGGCGAAAGCCUGAUCCAGCCAUGCCGCGUGUGUGAAGAAGGUCUUCGGAUUGUAAAGCACUUUAAGUUGGGAGGAAGGGCAUUAACCUAAUACGUUAGUGUUUUGACGUUACCGACAGAAUAAGCACCGGCUAACUCUGUGCCAGCAGCCGCGGUAAUACAGAGGGUGCAAGCGUUAAUCGGAAUUACUGGGCGUAAAGCGCGCGUAGGUGGUUUGUUAAGUUGGAUGUGAAAGCCCCGGGCUCAACCUGGGAACUGCAUCCAAAACUGGCAAGCUAGAGUACGGUAGAGGGUGGUGGAAUUUCCUGU
Molecule: ribosomal RNA, 559 nt
Filed under: uncultured bacterium
Lineage: Bacteria
Description: bacterial SSU rRNA
Rfam family: Bacterial small subunit ribosomal RNA
Source: RNAcentral